Molecule: long non-coding RNA, 474 nt
Organism: Homo sapiens (human)
Lineage: Eukaryota; Metazoa; Chordata; Mammalia; Primates; Hominidae
Source: Ensembl
GAAUUUUAGCACUUUUUCUAUCAGUUUAUCUGAGCUAUGUAUUUAUUAAGGAUUUUAAUACAUUGCUGUAAUUACUAAAAACAUCUUUUCCCAUUGAUUAUUUGCUUUUAAAUUCCAUACAUGAUUUAGAAAAAAACAUAUAAUGUAUUUUAUUUUAUGUGCUUCCUGGUGCCUGGUACAUAAAGUAUGCUCAAUAAAUAUUUGUUGAAUGAUGUAGUCAAAUAAAUUUACUUUUUCUUUGUGUUUUCUUCCACUAUUUCUAUGCUUAGAGAAUAAUUUCCAUUUAGGAGAUAGUUAUUCUAGAAUUAUUUUAUAAUUUUAAAAUAUUUAAAAUUAUCUUAUAUUUUUAAAUAUUUAAUUAAUCUAGGAUUUAUUUUGGUAUAUUUGUUAGUUAUACUGUAAUUACUUUUUCCUUCAAAAAAAGCUAGUCAAUGACUUCUGCAACAUUAACUAAAUAAACUUCCUUUUUCUUCA